GCGGCACGCCUAACACAUGCAAGUCGAACGAAGUAGCAAUACUUAGUGGCAGACGGGUGAGUAACAUGUGGGUAUCUUCCCUAUGGCCUGGAAUAACACGAGGAAACUUGUGCUAAUACUGGAUAAGUCUUUACGGAGAAAGCUUUAUGCACCAUUGGAUGAGCCCGCACUUGAUUAGUUUGUUGGUAGGGUAAUGGCCUACCAAGACUUUGAUCAAUAGCUGAUUUGAGAGGAUGAUCAGCCACAUUGGGACUGAGACACGGCCCAAACUCCUACGGGAGGCAGCAGUGGGGAAUCUUGCACAAUGGAGGAAACUCUGAUGCAGCGAUGCCGCGUGAGUGAAGAAGGCCUUUGGGUUGUAAAGCUCUUUCGUCGGGGAAGAAAAUGACUGUACCCGAAUAAGAAGGUCCGGCUAACUUCGUGCCAGCAGCCGCGGUAAUACGAAGGGACCUAGCGUAGUUCGGAAUUACUGGGCUUAAAGAGUUCGUAGGUGGUUGAAAAAGUUGGUGGUGAAAUCCCAGAGCUUAACUCUGGAACUGCCAUCAAAACUUUUCAGCUAGAGUUUGAUAGAGGAAAGCAGAAUUUCUAGUGUAGAGGUGAAAUUCGUAGAUAUUAGAAAGAAUACCAAUUGCGAAGGCAGCUUUCUGGAUCAUUACUGACACUGAGGAACGAAAGCAUGGGUAGCGAAGAGGAUUAGAUACCCUCGUAGUCCAUGCCGUAAACGAUGUGUGUUAGACGUUGGAAAUUUAUUUUCAGUGUCGCAGCGAAAGCGAUAAACACACCGCCUGGGGAG
This 793-nucleotide ribosomal RNA is filed under the name uncultured Pelagibacteraceae bacterium. RNAcentral's name for it is "bacterial SSU rRNA". It matches the Rfam family "Bacterial small subunit ribosomal RNA", at positions 39 to 880 of the family's 1533-position model. Lineage: Bacteria; Pseudomonadati; Pseudomonadota; Alphaproteobacteria; Candidatus Pelagibacterales; Candidatus Pelagibacteraceae. The record is from RNAcentral.